GUUCAUACGACCACCAAUGAUUCAGUAGCCUGUGAGAAUCGCCUUCGGGUGGCUACAGCUAAAGCUCCUGUAACCUGAAAGGGAGCAAACUUUGGUACAUCUGCGCACCUUUGAAAGCAGAUAUC
Molecule: small RNA, 125 nt
Filed under: Klebsiella grimontii
Lineage: Bacteria; Pseudomonadati; Pseudomonadota; Gammaproteobacteria; Enterobacterales; Enterobacteriaceae
Description: STAXI RNA
Rfam family: STAXI RNA
Source: RNAcentral